ACCACCGAAAGCCACAGUCGGUCAUGACCGUCAAUGUCAUCUGACGUCUGGAAAGAACGACACAGCAGAAGCCAAAAACGAGGACCGAGGAUGGAAUAAAAACAGCUGGAAUCAGCGAGUCCAGCUCUCUAUCAGUGAACGAUAUCGUCGAAGGUCAAAGUUGGCCAUUAGUGAAGUGACGCGUGGUGAAACCCCGGUUGUGAAGUGCCUGUAGUUUCGACGGGCGGUCCUCGCUGCUUCAACCCCUUGUGGACGCGGGUUAUUCAUCAUCCAAUUCAAGAAGUGAACCGUCGAAAGCCUUCAUGUGGAGAAAGCCAAGCUGUAAGAACCAAGCCCGGACCGCGCAGAGAAACCGUUGCUCGCUGUUAGAGGUUCCCGUCGAUGCUCGACCCCGUUCCGGACGCUACCUGUGCCUGAAGAAGUUUGCCGGCGUGUAUGAGGGAGCGCUGAACGAGAAAAUGAAGAGUCCCACCCCGGCGAGGAAGCGGUUGUGCUGUGGUACGUGCACGAAUGCAGCUACGAUGAUCAUGUGAGUUUAGAGGUGUGCAAUUCUACUUCUCCUUCCGUACGAAAUGUACAAAAGAAAAUGAAAUUAAAUUAACUAAUUAAGAA
Armigeres subalbatus is the source of this 612-nucleotide long non-coding RNA. RefSeq lists it as uncharacterized. NCBI's taxonomy places the organism in Eukaryota, Metazoa, Arthropoda, Insecta, Diptera, Culicidae. The record is from RefSeq and is a predicted model, not a curated record. The transcript has 2 exons.